GCCCGCACCGUGACCUCGGGUUGCCUGGAAACAGGCAUGAAAAGGGAAGACCGGUCGAUCCGGCGCUGCCCCCGCAACUGUAGUCCGGCGAGGUGGAUGCAAUCAUGCCACUGGAAGCUUGUCUUCCGGGAAGGCCGCAUCCCACCGCUGACCCGGCGAGCCAGGAGACCUGCCAGGGCGUCGCCGUUAUC
RNAcentral lists this non-coding RNA (191 nucleotides) under Sphingopyxis sp. Lineage: Bacteria; Pseudomonadati; Pseudomonadota; Alphaproteobacteria; Sphingomonadales; Sphingopyxidaceae. The record is from RNAcentral.